CUUUUCUUCGGAACGGCUCGGAGUUGCGAAUAGCCAGGCGAUGCGUAGGGGGUUCGGAAUCAGACGCGACGGUAUUCCGAUGGCUUCGACUCCCCGAUGAGCGAGUUUACCUCUACGAGCGUAGAAGCGGGUUAGUCGUUGUUCGUUCCUCGUUGAAAACUGAGAAUUCAGAUUUCACCAUUCGAAAAUAUCUCCUCCUCCGAAACGCUGCGUUUUUCAGAACGACGUCGAGACCGGUACCAUUUAAUUCUUCAGCAUCGCUCACCGGCCGAAGCUCGAUCCUCGGCACGAUGUGCUCUUGGGCGUGAUAGCAGUUGGUUCUUCCGGCUGUAGGUAGCUGGUCCGUGACGUCAAUCGCCUGCAACAGCUCGAACUUCUUGCCGCACGACAACCCGAAGACUUAUACAGAGGAAAAUCAUUCGCGAAACUUUCACAAUUGGUACGGUCAAGAAGUAAACAAAUGGUACGAGUGAGCCAACCUCGUACGGGUUGGACGGAGGGAAAUGGGUCACAAGGGGUGAAGAGAGGGGUGCGACGGAGAAAGGAGAAGAGAGAGAGAGAGAGAGAGAGAGAGAAAAGCGCGAGGCAAAAAUUGAAAUAAAACUGGACGGAAAAUUUAAACUCGCUCUGAGCACCUAAUUAUUGCAAAUUGCGUCGGGUAACGAAUGCUAGAAUUGAAAAUAGUCGUCAGUUCCACUUCUGCAAGAUUUUGCAAAUCCUGAGGCACAUCCUUUGCACGGAAUAUUCCAUGGUGUAGCAUUCUACCUGCAAUGUAGAAACAAAUAAUAGGCACUUGAUUAAUUUCGGUAACUUAUUACCUGAAAAAAUAUGUAAGAACAGAAUACAGCUAUAUGCAGUAUAUGCAUCGAAGGAUCUAUGUAUGUUUACUGAUAUAUAACACUUGAAUACGCGAGGCUCCUAAGAUUUCCAUUGUGCUGCUCAAUUGUAAUUUGCGUCAGAACGUCGCCUCGCCAUUGCUUUGGCGCAUUUUAGACGAUUAAUCACAAAUAAAUAACUCGGAUAUAAUGUGUAUGAAAAAUUUGCUUCAGUUAUCGUUUUCACUUAUUUCAUAGAAUUUUUUUUUCCAAUGCAACAACUAUGAAGAAGUAACAGCUGACAUUCCUCUGUGAAAACUGUACCUAAUAACACGAUUAAUUAUCCGAGAGAAUAUAAACUUACGUUUCGCGAAUUAUAAUCCUUGUAAAAAUAGACUACACAUCAGUGCUGGUUACAAAAAAAAACAAAAAAAAAAGUGCAAUGCUCCUAUAAUAUAAAAUACAAUUUAUCGUCAAUAUAACGAUAUAAAUAUAAUCGAAAAGAAGUCGCGACUCUGCAAUAUUCGGGCGAGGAUUAUACUUGCAGUCGUAACUUCAAUCGGGGUGUUGUUUUGGUUUCAUACGUCACGGGUGGGUUUUCGAAAUAUCAGACGGUAUCACGUAAGAAGGGGCAUAACGUUUCUACAUAGCGGGUAUUAUUUAUUAUACUAUAUACAUGUAUAUUCGUAAUUAUUAGCACGAAUUCUGAGCUCAAUAUCUGACAAUGAUAAUGAGAAUGAGAAUACUUUAUCAUUAGCCGUAAUUUGUGAGAGAGAGAGAGAAUGAAUUACCUAGACCGAAAGAAAUUUCUGUUUAUGGUUUGCUAUUUAUAUACAGUCUUGAGCUGUUUCCAAUUUUUUUCCCAUAAUUAAAAAAUAUGGAUCCGGGUAGGUUUAAACUGAAAAUCAGGCUUCGAGUUGGAGUAAUCAGAAAUUCUAUUACGUGUUACUAUUAUUUUUGAUUACGAUCAUUCUUACUAAUCAGAUUACAGCUGUUGCGAUCAUUUAAUGUGGGUGGAGUGAUAAAAUAAUGUUAACGUUUUGUUUGAUUGAAAAAAUUGACUAAACUAAACAGAUUGAACGCUACAGUAACCAGACAGCGCAUCAGUAUUGGCAAUUAUAAUCAGAUUAAAUUGUUACUUGUGACACAUUUUUUUUUUUUUUUUUACGAUUGCAGCAAUUAUCGAUCCGUUAUUUUAACGAUAUUCAAUUUACUAGUAUUUUCUAGUAACUAUACUAAAUUAAAUGAUUCUCGUCGUCAGUGUACGUUUUCAAAAAACGUUUCGAGCGAAGAAAGGACUCUUUGAAUUCCUUUUCUCUUCUCCGUGCCAGGCGGGCUGCUCCAGGGCACUAAAAAGCGCCCCCUUGGCGCCGGGCGAGAAUAAGCUCGACAAAAACUCCCCCUCGACUCGCUCGCGGGGCGUUUACCAACUUUACGGAAAGACCAGGCCGCGUCGAAUAAUUUUGCGUUUCAAAAAAAUUUUUCCCAACCUGCCUUAGGCGGUGAAAAAUCAGGGAGAACCGAAUGUUCUGUCUCUCUUUCCCUGUUUUAUUUUUUUGCCUGUUUACGUGCAUGAAUUAAAACGAUAUUGUUUUGUAUUUUGUUUCUCUAAACAACAAAUAAUAUUCUAUCCUUA
This 2451-nucleotide long non-coding RNA is filed under the name Neodiprion pinetum (white pine sawfly). Its description in RNAcentral is "uncharacterized LOC124216636, transcript variant X1". The record is from RNAcentral. Lineage: Eukaryota; Metazoa; Arthropoda; Insecta; Hymenoptera; Diprionidae.